Molecule: ribosomal RNA, 388 nt
Filed under: Paracoccus marcusii
Lineage: Bacteria; Pseudomonadati; Pseudomonadota; Alphaproteobacteria; Rhodobacterales; Paracoccaceae
Description: bacterial SSU rRNA
Rfam family: Bacterial small subunit ribosomal RNA
Source: RNAcentral
AACGAACGCUGGCGGCAGGCUUAACACAUGCAAGUCGAGCGAGACCUUCGGGUCUAGCGGCGGACGGGUGAGUAACGCGUGGGAACGUGCCCUUCUCUACGGAAUAGCCCCGGGAAACUGGGAGUAAUACCGUAUACGCCUUUUGGGGGAAAGAUUUAUCGGAGAAGGAUCGGCCCGCGUUGGAUUAGGUAGUUGGUGGGGUAAUGGCCCACCAAGCCGACGAUCCAUAGCUGGUUUGAGAGGAUGAUCAGCCACACUGGGACUGAGACACGGCCCAGACUCCUACGGGAGGCAGCAGUGGGGAAUCUUAGACAAUGGGGGCAACCCCUGAUCUAGCCAUGCCGCGUGAGUGAAGAAGGCCUUAGGGUUGUAAAGCUUUUUCAGCUGG